GAUGAAGAACGCAGCGAAAUGCGAUAAGUAAUGCGAAUUGCAGAAUUCCAGUGAGUCAUCGAAUCUUUGAACGCACAUUGCGCCCUUUGGUAUUCCGAAGGGCAUGCCUGUUCGAGCGUCAUUAUCACCCCUCAAGCCCCCGGCUUGGUGUUGGACGGUUUGGCGGAGGCCCUCCGGGGCCCUUGCCCCUCCCAAAGACAAUGACGGCGGCCUCGUUGGACCCCCGGUACACUGAGUUCUUCACGGGACACGUACUGGAGUAAGGGUGCGCGGGGCACGGUCUGCCUCCCCUCAGGGAGAAUCUUCUUUUACAAGGUUGACCUCGGAUCAGGUAGGGAUACCCGCUGAACUUAAGCAUAUCAAUAAGCGGAGGA
This 374-nucleotide unclassified non-coding RNA is filed under the name soil metagenome. Its description in RNAcentral is "partial contains 5.8S ribosomal RNA, internal transcribed spacer 2, and large subunit ribosomal RNA". The stretch from base 1 to 121 matches the Rfam family "5.8S ribosomal RNA", at positions 35 to 154 of the family's 154-position model. The record is from RNAcentral.